UAAACACUACUGAGCAACAACUGAAAACAUCAGCGUUAUCAACAUUCUUCUCAUACUGAACUCAAAACACAGCACUGUACCAGCUACUAGGAAGACAGUUAACUCUAUCCCAGCUGAAACCAGGACAGGAUCACAUUAAAGUGUUAGCCCCAGGAGCUGACUGCGAGGCUGAUCCUUGAUUAAUGGCAGGGCGGCUGCCUGCUGCAGCAGGAGGGGGCCGGCCGGGGAGGGAUUUAUCCCACUCAUCUGACACGAGGCGCUUCGCUCUUCUGCGGUGUCGUGGAUACAGAGCCAGGGCUGAAAGCCUCGGUUUUCGGUACCUCUGAUCUACCUCAAACGUACCUUAAAAGAGAAAGGAGCUGUGCUGUGGAUCUCAGCCUUGACUGGCACGUUCCUGGGCUUUGCACUCGAGUAUCUGGGAAAGGGGGAGGCAGCCGGAGAAAGGCAGCAAAGCAUCUCACGAGUGUUUCUCCCGGCUGAUCUGCAGGCAGUGUUGGAAAAGAAGGGGUCGUUCCUGCUUCCGAGAGCGACUGACGGGAACCUGGGGUGGGAUUCUGGUCUCACUACCUCAGAAACCUGCGGUGUGCAUACAUCUGCAGCUGAACUGGGCACCCUAGGCUUCCCUGAUUAGUUAAUGGAGGCGAUUAGGUAUUUUUAGGCAUGACUCGCCUGUCCUAUUUUAGCUUUCUAUUUUAGUACAGGAUGAAUUGUACGAUGUCCGUUAACUUUAAAGAGAGUCUAAUCCGAGUAGCUCAGAUGCGGACCUCUUAACUGAUUUAUUCGGAUCAGUUCUGCCCCCGUCUGCCAAGGUCUUUAAAGCACCAGGUAUCUUCCAAGGCUAAAGCCGAGGCAAACAGUGAGAGAGAGGCAGUGCAGAAAGCUGUCUUUUGCUUUGCUUUUCCCAGAUAGCAGCAUCUCUUCAGGUGUGACUUUGGCAGCCAAACGCUCGAGUUGGCUGUGGUCGUUUUGUACCGUCAAAAGUAUUGUUGGUCCUAGUCUAGGAGCAAUGCAGUCUCCGUCUGUACAACCUCUAUCCAGUUGGAAAAAGAAAAGGAUUUUUAGUUGCCUUCCCUCUCAAACAUCUGCUUUUCUGUUGACAAAUUGCUCCCUCUCUCUUGCCCUAUCCCUGCCCUCCUUUUUCCUUAUGGCUCUCCGUCUCGACCCCUCCUGAUGCAGCCAAACCUGCCAAUUCUCUGUAGCUCCUCCGAGGCUCCCGAUCUUCCUUACCUUUUGCUGAAACUAAGCAAAGAGGCUCCCUGGCGUAGAGGCAGGAAUAUCAGCUACACCUCAAUAGCGCAGCCACGCUGGGACCCGCAACAACAUGCCCCCACACGUGUCCUCGUACGCAGAGUUUGCUGUGGGCUGGAAGAGGCAGCAGGAGGGAAGGCCGGGUCGUACCGAGCGUUUCUAAGCCGAUGAAAACAGCAGGCAUUGCCCGGUGGUGGUCCGCGUGCAGGGACCAGGCUGGGACCAGGCGCAGGCAGCAAAGCGUAUCCAUAGGAAUGAAGUACAAAGAUGAUGAAGACUGGUAUGUCUUGCACACCGUCAUCUCCUCGUAGCGUGUGCUCUCUGCCUACUGAUGCAAAUAAGGGCAUCCUCCAUCAUUUUUCUGAAGCUGACCCGAGACCGUGAUGUUUUCCACGUGGGCGGAAUUCAUACACAGCACAGCUCUGAGCCUCUGGCUACAUGGGGAACCGCACAAGCUCCUUGAUGAUACCACAGGCCACGAACCACGGGUGGCUGCUGGCUGCCCGUACCCUGCCUCGCAAUCGCCGGAACGAUCAGCUGGCCGAACAGGGCGGAAUCUCCCAGUGGUGGUCUCCGUUCUGACGGUCUCAGGGUGAGCUGGCGCAAGAGGUGGGUUAUAUGCAGACUGAGGGCUGAGGCAUUCUUGAUAAAUUCGGGUGUCUGAUAGAACUAGGAUUGAACUUCUCAUUUCCAAGCCUUGUUUGGAGCCUCAAUGUUGGUGCCUCUUUUCCUUCCCUUGCUCUGUAAUCUGAAGGAUUGAGCUUCAGUUUAUUUCAUCCCUUCUCACACCAUAUAUAGCUGUCAGUGGUCUAGAACUCUGCUUGAUUUUUAUUUUUUUUUUUUUUGCUUUAACAAUGUCAUUCCUGGCCUGUGUCCCCCUACCAGCUGUCUAAUGAUGGUAUAAUCAUGAGCUCUGAGCGCUGUCAUCUCUAAACUCAGUCUUAUUGAAUCAAAUACCUGCUCUAAACUGCAAUAUCUGUGUACUCACACACACAGGAUGGGUUUCUACUUGCUCUCUUCCCAGCUAACACAGUGAAUCCUGGCUGGGCUGAGCACACCGAAUCCCUCUCUGUUCUGCUCACCAUUUGCAUUCUGUUUUCAGGCUGUCAUUCGAGGACAGCUGAAGAACUUGGCCGGUACAGGCUCUUUCAAGGUUGGGAUCAGCGUUUUGAUGAAUUGUAGAGUCUUUGGGUAGAGGGUGAACAUUGAUCUGCACUUCUCUGCAGGAGAACUGCAGAUGUUCAAGGAUGUGUAGGAUGCAGAGGAUCCACCUUGUGCAACUGAUACUUUAUAAGCCGGAGUUCAGAGUGCGUGUCCAGCUGUUGUGUCAGAGCACAGCAACGAUGCAGCUCCCAGCAGGCUCCGUCUCCCUUCCACCGGGAUCUUUCUCCCACAGGAGACCUCCUGCCACCACCUGAGCUUCUGCAAGCUUCCUCUUCCAGUGCAAGAUGAUCCUGUAGGAUGUCUGAUAACAGGGAGUGCUGAUAGGUGUCCGUGUCCCAGGACCCUGAUUCCCGGUAAUCUUCAUCAGGAUAAGGAGAGAAGAGCACGCACACGGCAGGUCCUAGCUAUAUCGGUUACUGCAUAUCUGAUAGGUGUCCAGACACUAGAAGAACUUCUGUAAGAUAGCAUAAAAUACAUAAAGUACAAGUUGUUUGGCACACUUAGGGAGCUCUGCCCUACAAAUCAUUCCCCUUCUGCUUCUCUUGUUGCUAAUGAAACAGCUGCUCUUUGGUUUCAGGCUUUAACCUAUUUUUAGAUUCCUUUUAUGCUGUUGGCCCUUUGAAAUGCAUGAGUCGCUGUGAAAGAAAGCCAGUGUCAUUGCUGUGAGGCAAGAGGAAGGCCUAUAGGUGAAGUCAUGUCUGGUAAUGAGAGACUGUCUCACCUAUUCAUCUCCUCCCUUCCUUUAUUUCUAUAAAGCAACUCUGUUCCCUUGGGCACGCGGUUGCAUACCUUUUCUGCUUUUAUUUAAGCAUUACAGAGAUAUCAGGCACAGCCCUUCAUUAGCACAGCUGCAGAGCCGGCAUGCUCUGCUGCGGUCCCAAUACAUGGUCCUGUUCCCACCGCGGGAAAUGUGCCGGCCUGAAGCGGAAAGGGAGCUGGAGGAGCUUGGAUUUCAAGGAGAGAAGCUGGAGAACAGCGCAGAAAGGAGGAAGCUGUGAAUAAAAUAGGGGGCCAGCGGAAGACAGACCUUUAUUCUCAUUGCUGCAGCCUUUACUGCCUUGAGGACUUCUGUUCGCUCUGCAUCCCUGCACUGACACACAGUUUCACUGGAAUCGAGUCAUCUCCGACGUAUCUGCUAAAUCCUGGCUAGAGACAAGGAGUUCUCAGCACAGCAGGGUUCGGUUUUCUCUUUAUGGUUGAAAAAUGUGGUUCGAAUUCUGUGCUACAGCGAAAAUCUAGCAGCAAAAUGUGUGCCUCUGAGCUGUAAAGGCGGCUGCUGUUGCAGAUUCAUACGAGCUCGGUUACGUACGGGGAACUUUGUACUCGGAGGAAAUUAUCACUAGUCUGUAACGCUCUUGGUUUUCUGUUGGCUUUGUAUAGGUUCCUACACUGACGAAAGUGCAUUUCAAGUUGAAUUUUUUCAGGCCCUGUGUAUGUAGCAUUACAUAGAUUGCAAACAUCUGCUGUGAUUUCCCCUGUUCAGAAUAAAACUGUCUAUGACACCUGUA
Long non-coding RNA from Harpia harpyja (harpy eagle), 3920 nucleotides. RefSeq lists it as uncharacterized. The transcript has 2 exons. The record is from RefSeq and is a predicted model, not a curated record. NCBI's taxonomy places the organism in Eukaryota, Metazoa, Chordata, Aves, Accipitriformes, Accipitridae.